CACAGCAGCGUGGUUUGUCUUGAAUGACGCGCAGGUUUAUAAAAAGUUUUGGAGGGUGUUAUCUUCGAUUUACACGAAGGUCUCUCCACGUGGGACAACUGUCCUCAAAUCAAGAGCUCCCGAUUUCCUCCAGACAGAUGAUCAUGAUUAAGUCCAACCUGGCAACGUCCAUGUUGUCCAACACCUGAGCUUCUGCCAGACACCACUCAGUUUACUUUCGCUCUAGUCACGCAAUGCUGUGUGCGCAAACCUCCAGCAACUGCUCAGCCCCAACACACAAGAAAGCCAUCAAGUACCUGCAAUUGACAGAAUCGCGUGCAAUUCAGGUAGUCCUGGAUUGUGCUGGCGCCAGGCCAAACGGGGAGUGAAGGAAAAGGCGGAGUGGAGUUUCACCUGCCUGAGAUGACAUGCAGAGCAGUCAGUGGUGUGGAAGUCUAUUCCUUUGGGUCUGCACUCCAUUCCUGCGAGUCCGGCCCUGGUUUUGCGGUUUCAGCAGAGCUAUGAUCCCAGAAAUACAAGCAAGCCUGGAGGUGGUUAGGACAUGAAAGUGAGUUCAAAACUCUUUGGCAGCAACCUACAAAAAAAACUUCAAGUACCGUCAUGCCUUGCGCGUCUACGUUUGGGCUGAGCGCAGCAUGUGCUUCAGCGCUCUGCUCCAACUAUGGCUCAUUGCUGCUCGGGCUCUCCACGGGAGCGCACCGUGCCGCCGCCGCCAGAGGAGCUGGGAACAUCACUGCACUGGAGCAUCAAGGGGGAGCACGAACUUUUUUGUUUUUAAACUCUUGCUCUUGGGAAAUAACCGCUCCGAGCUGUCUGCCUGAUUUGCCCCGAGCGCAAAUCCUUUUACGCACGGGUUCCCUUGGACGCAUCAGGAGGAUUAAACGCUGACCUUACAGCACUGACCCGUGUGGAGUUAAUAUUGUUAUUGGUAGAACUUGAUCACAAUGGAAUCGGAUGAUGGAUUCUACAGUCCAGCCCCGGGUCGUCUUGUUGGAUGUAAGGGAAUCAAGUGCCGGGAUGAGCGGUGUGUGUUCCUCCUGCUGCCCGGUCCCUGCUGCUGGACAAGCUGUGUGUCGGACACACCAGUCUCUUGGGAUACUUCACGCGUGUUCGUGGGGAGCCAGUGUCAUACAUGGCCAAUACCAUGAUAUUCUUAUGGAAAAUACUUUCUGGUGGAUUUGAGGUACAAUAUCCUGGAGUAUAUGUAUUUUUUUUCUUUGGGAAGUGAUGCUCAACAGAUGUGCAGCAAAUGUGGAUAAUGGACGGGACCCAUCAAUAUCAUCCAGCAGAAUGAAGGAAUCCAAAUUCAUGGAAUAAGAUGUGAACCUUUAAUUGCUUCCCAGGGAUCUUCUGAUGAUCUCAGAUGAGCAACAACAAGAAGAGGCUGAGUAAUGGAAACAUGAUCUUCAGUGAUUCAACAGGAUCAUGUUAAAUCCCGGCUUGGACUGCGGACCAGCAUCCCCUGCAGCAGAUGUUUGCUCUUGGCAUGGCUGCUGACAGCAUGAGCUCCAUCACUGACAAUGUUGCUGCUCAGGACCCGCGCCAGCCCCUUGGACUUGGAGGAGCUCUGACAUAAACUCAGCAGGACAGCGGCGUGUACUCCGCCGCUCCGACAUUAUGGAACAGAUCAGUCAACCCUGUCUGGAGAGAUGCUCAAGUAGGAAAGCCAAAUCAAUGAAUGUGCAUUCGCUGUAGUUUACCACAAUGGAUCUACAUAUUAUUUGACUUUUUCUAAAUUGAACCUGGAUUAAUAUUUUCCUGUAUAUGCAUCUGCUUUUGAUAUCCAGCGCUUAUUCAGACUGUUGUUCAUACCCUGUACCGUAGUUGUGACAUUUACUGUGUUAUUCUGGGACAAGUAUCAACAGGCGCUGGAACUGUAAACGGAAUAUAAUCAGAUGUUAUUUUCAUUUUUUAAGACUAUUUUUUCGCAAACCGGUGGCAGCGCUUCCACCAGCGCAGGCACACAUGAGGUCUGUGGAGUGAACAGCGCAAUAAAUGUCUCCUGUGGUGUAAAAGCUAAUUAAUACACGUGAUCGAGAUUCCUCAGAAGGAUCAGUCCAUUAGCAGCCAUUAUCAUCACAGUGUUAAUGAAUGUUAACCUUGAAAACUCUCCUACUCACCCUGCAUGUCACUGUGACACUCUGUGUGCGGUUAAUAUUCCUGUCAGGCUGCGUAUUUCCAUGAUGAUUUAUUGCAACAUAACUUUGAUUGUGUUACUUGCAGUAAUAAAGAGGUGUAUCCAA
Hippoglossus stenolepis (Pacific halibut) is the source of this 2243-nucleotide long non-coding RNA. RefSeq lists it as uncharacterized. The transcript is spliced from 7 exons. NCBI's taxonomy places the organism in Eukaryota, Metazoa, Chordata, Actinopteri, Pleuronectiformes, Pleuronectidae. The record is from RefSeq and is a predicted model, not a curated record.